AAGACUUGUAAGUGUAGGAUUUUCUGGGAGUGCCAGGGGGUCAGGGCUGCUUUAUGGCCCCGUUCCACGUCAGAAGAACGGCUGAGGCGUUCCUUUGUGCUCACAGCACUGUAACAGGGUCAGCUUUCACCUGGCUGGAGCCUGCCAAGAUCACCAAUUUGAGUCCAUUGUGCCAUUGGAAAAUUGUUCAUUUUCAUGGAUAAGUCAGAAUUAAUGUUGUGUGGCGGUGGGAGUGCAGGUCAGUGCAGGGUCAGUGAGGCCACUCUGGGGCUGCUGGCCCUGACCUUGGCACAGACUGCCAGGGCCAGUGCUGGUGCCAAGGCACAGCUGCCAAUAUCUCCUAUACUCUGCCGUAGUAUCAAGAAAUACAAAUAUACAGUACUUGGGCAAACCUAAAAAAACACAAAAUGCCUUUUGGUCUCUUUAACAGAGUAACAUCAAUGUUUCUUUCAUGUAAAUGUCCAUGGGGCUUUGCUGCCUCCACAGUGAAGUGCAUUCCAAACAGUAACUGCAAUAACUAGUAAAAAGAAUUAUAAGGCAUGGGGCAGAGCUGGGCUCCUGCUCUCCUGCAGCAGAGGCACUGCUGGCUGCAGCUCUGGAGCUUGGCACUGAUGCACUUGCACUGCACAACCAUCACUUUCUCAAAUGGAUAUGUCAUUUACGCUUUCCUUAAUUAAAAUUUCAUCUAUCCCUGCCUCUGUGCACAUGCCUCUGUGCACAUGUGUCUGCCUGAGCGCUGCCAUGUUUGGAGCUGUGUGGUGGCUGCUGUCAGAACCCAGGAAUGCAGAACAGAACCCUGCACAGGCAAACGUGGCAGAACCUGGGCAGUGUCUGCAGCAGCAGUUAGGAAUCUGGGACUGGGAGCUGACUGUACUUGCAUUCCCAGGAGGACAAAUCAGGGCCUGGAUUGCCAGGAAUAAUACCCAGAGUUGUGGUGCUGAGAAGGUGAAGCUGCAGCGUGAGCCCACCUGGAAUCAUCAUUGUAGGAGAAAUGCACUGGGAGAAGCCAUGGAUGGGCAGGUUCACCAGCACUCCAGUGCUCGCUCCGUCUGUCAUUGGGCACAGGAGAUCCUUUGGCUGUGUGGCCGGCAGUGCUCACACCAGGGCUGGCCAUGUCCCCUCUGCAGAGUUCCAGCUCUGAUCCUGGACAAAGCAAGGGAGGAGGUCACCUUCAGAGAGGCUGGUUCAGAGAACAGUGGGAGUAGCCAUGGAGUGCCCUGUCUAGUGAAGUCUCAAAGAGAAGAUGGCUCUGAAAAGCAUGAUCAAGUCUUUGAAAAUUAA
RNAcentral lists this long non-coding RNA (1281 nucleotides) under Junco hyemalis (dark-eyed junco). RNAcentral describes it as "lncRNA (ENSJHYG00000000456.1)". The record is from RNAcentral. Lineage: Eukaryota; Metazoa; Chordata; Aves; Passeriformes; Passerellidae.